RNAcentral lists this ribosomal RNA (253 nucleotides) under uncultured Anaeroplasma sp. RNAcentral's name for it is "partial 16S ribosomal RNA". It matches the Rfam family "Bacterial small subunit ribosomal RNA", at positions 524 to 776 of the family's 1533-position model. Lineage: Bacteria; Bacillati; Mycoplasmatota; Mollicutes; Anaeroplasmatales; Anaeroplasmataceae. The record is from RNAcentral.
UACGUAGGGAGCGAGCGUUAUCCGGAAUUAUUGGGCGUAAAGGGUGCGUAGAUGGUUGAUAUAAGUCUUUUGUAAAAAUGCUAGGCUCAACCUAGUAGGGCAAAAGAUACUGAUGAACUAGAGUACGGCAGAGGCAAGUGGAACUACAUGUGUAGCGGUAAAAUGCGUAAAUAUAUGUAAGAACACCAGUGGCGAAGGCGACUUUCUGGACAGUAACUGACGUUGAGGCACGAAAGUGUGGGGAGCAAACAGG